AGCCUGCGCCGAAAAUUAUCGGGGCUAAACCGUGUACCGAAGCUGUGGAUGCGUGUGUAUUUACUGGUGGAACUGAUCGUAUAUUAGAAGCGAGAUAAUUUAGCAGGAAAGCUACCUUAAUGAAUAGGAUAGCAGAAAAGAAGCUUUCCGAGAAAUUUUCUCAAAGGCUGAAACGUGUACGGAUCAGAUUCAGCAGUAAAUACACACGCGUGGUAGGGGAGCUUACUGCAACAGGCUGAAGGUCGACCGAGAGGACGGCUGGACGAAGCAGUAGUGAGAAUGCCGGAAUAAGUAGCGAGAGUAAAGUGAGAAUCUUUACCGUCGAAAGCCUAAGGUUUCCUGGGGAAGGUUCGUCCACCCAGGGUAAGUCGGGACCUAAGCCGAGGCCGAAAGGCGUAGGUGAUGGACAACAGGUUGAUAUUCCUGUACUACCGUUACUCGCUUGAGAGAAGUGGGGACGCAGGGGGAAUAGUUAAGCGAGCGACUGGAAGAGCUCGUCCAAGGGAGAUAGAUAGUCCGGCAGGCAAAUCCGCCGGAUGUUUCGAAGGCCCGAUGGGGAGGGAAAUUAGAGUACCGAAGUAACGAUUUCCGCACUGACGAGAAAAGCCACUAUCGAGAGUAAAGGUACCCGUACCGCAAACCGACACAGGUAGGUGAGGAGAGAAUCCUAAGACGAGCGGGAGAAGCGUUGUUAAGGAACUCGGCAAAUUGACCCCGUAAGUUCGCGAGAAGGGGUGCCUCGAGAGAGGCCGCAGUGAAACGGCCCAAGCAACUGUUUAGCAAAAACACAGGUCUCUGCUAAAUCGAAAGAUGACGUAUAGGGGCUGACGCCUGCCCGGUGCUGGAAGGUUACGGGGAUCUGUUAGCGCAAGCGAAGCAGUGAACUUAAGCCCCAGUAAACGGCGGCCGUAACUAUAACGGUCCUAAGGUAGCGAAAUUCCUUGUCGGGUAAGUUCCGACCCGCACGAAUGGCGUAAUGACUUGGGCACUGUCUCAACAACGCACCCGGUGAAAUUGUAGUACUCGUGAAGAUGCGAGUUACCCGCGACAAGACGGAAAGACCCCAUGGAGCUUUACUGCAGCCUGAUACUGGGUUUCGGUAUUUUUUGUACAGGAUAGGUGGGAGACUGAGAAGCGUGGGCGCCAGCUUACGUGGAGUCGUCGUUGGGAUACCACUCUAAAAGUACUGAGGCUCUAACCAGAGUCUGUGAACCAGGCUUGGGACACUGUCAGGUGGGCAGUUUGACUGGGGCGGUCGCCUCCCAAAAGGUAACGGAGGCGUCCAAAGGUUACCUCAGCGCGGUUGGAAAUCGCGCAUCGAGUGCAAAGGCAUAAGGUAGCCUGACUGUGAGAGGUACAUCUCGAGCAGGUACGAAAGUAGGGCUUAGUGAUCCGGUGGUAUGAAAGUGGAAUUGCCAUCGCUCAACGGAUAAAAGCUACCCUGGGGAUAACAGGCUGAUCUCCCCCAAGAGUCCACAUCGACGGGGAGGUUUGGCACCUCGAUGUCGGCUCAUCGCAUCCUGGAGCUGAAGUAGGUUCCAAGGGUUUGGCUGUUCGCCAAUUAAAGCGGUACGCGAGCUGGGUUCAGAACGUCGUGAGACAGUUCGGUCCCUAUCUGUCGCGGGCGUAGGAUAUUUGAGGGGAUCUGUCCCUAGUACGAGAGGACCGGGAUGGACCGACCUCUGGUGCACCAGUUGUCAUGCCAAUGGCACGGCUGGAUAGCCAAGUCGGGAAUAGAUAAACGCUGAAAGCAUCUAAGCGUGAAACUAACCCCAAGAUGAGAUAUCCCACCAGCAAUGGGUAAGACCCCAUGGAGAAGACGUGGUUGAUAGGUCAGGGGUGUAAGUGCAGCAAUGCAUUGAGCUAACUGAUACUAAUAGGUCGAGGGCUUGACCA
This 1896-nucleotide ribosomal RNA is filed under the name bioreactor metagenome. RNAcentral's name for it is "bacterial LSU rRNA". It matches the Rfam family "Bacterial large subunit ribosomal RNA", at positions 1156 to 2925 of the family's 2925-position model. The record is from RNAcentral.